GGAGACCUGGUUUAAUUGAUUUAUUCAGGGUGUGGGGGAGUUAUGGCCUAUACUGAAGGCCUCUAUAAACACCUCUGCUUUACUUUCAUCAAGGGGUUUGAAGAUCCUACCUGUAUGCUUUGCAACCAUACUUAAAGGUGUCUGCAUUCGGGGCAGAGUUUUCGUCGGAGGCUUGCAGAGAGUUAGGCUUCUCCAGCAACUUGCUCUGCAGCUCCUGUGAUCUUCUUGGACAGUUCAACUUGCUUCCGCUGGAUCCUGACUGUCGAGGAUGCUGUCAGGAAGAAGCACAAUUUGAAACUAAAAAGCUGUAUGCAGGAGCUAUUCUUGAAGUGUGUGGAUGAAAAUUGGGGAGGUUCCCUCAAGUCCAGGCUUUCGUCAGGAGUGAUAAACCCAAACUAUUCAGAGGACUACAAAUCAAGUAUGUUCGUGGUUCAGACCCUGUACUAAAGCUUUUGGACGACAAUGGGAACAUUGCUGAAGAACUAAGCAUCCUCAAAUGGAACACAGACAGUGUAGAAGAGUUCCUGAGUGAGAAGUUGGAACGCAUAUAAAAGUUGCUUAAAUUUUGUCCUAUCCUUUUGUUACCUUUGUAUCUAAUGAAAUAUUACAGCUCCUAGAAAAUAAUUUAGUUUUGCUUCCUUCCAUUGCUCAGUCUUUGCCUGUGGGGCAUUGAACAUCUGAUUAAAAGUUGAAGUGGCAGCACAGCCCAUGAUAUCUAAGGAGUUGGCAAGCUUAACAAACCUGUUUUUUAUAAAUUUCCAUUCUCCUACAUUUGUUGAUACCACUAACAAAAUGUUUGUAUUAGACUUGUGGUUAAUUAUGCAAAUGAAAGUUUGUGAUAAUUGGUCCAGUUUUACAAACAACAGAUUUUUAAAUUAGGGAGGUUAUUAAGGGAGAUGAUUGCUAUGCUUCCUGUGCUGUGUGCUCCUUGAAAGUAAUGACAGAAAACUACAAAGCAAGUAAGAUAUUCUAGCCUCCACAGAUUGCCUGCUCCUCCAAUCCGCUCAUAUUUUUGUAUUACCCAGCUUUCCUUUAAAUAGAAACGUUGUAGUUUAUAAUGAAUGCACUGCAUAAAAACUUUAUGGCUUCAUUAUUAUGAAACAGAUUCAAGAUCUACAGUAAGAGUGAAACAUUCACAAAGAUUCGCGUUAAUGAAGACUACACAGAAAACCUUUCUGAGGAUUUGUGUGGAUCUGAUAUCCGGCAAAUUUUUGUGCUUUACAUUCUUACAGAAAAGUCAAUUUAAAAAUAAAUCAUUUGUAAGACCAAAAUAUAAAUAAAAGGUUUUAAAAAUCUAUCUGAAUUUGAAAUUCUUCCUAUUUGUCCUUUCAUGUUUAAAAAUAUGUUUCUCAGUGUAUUUUUAUUUUUUAUUUUCAUAUAGGCCUUUUUUUCUUAUCAUAACUUCUUAUUGUGGGCAAUACUAUUUUGUAUUUGUCUAGCAAUUUUCUUAUUUCCAAAGUGCUCCCAUUUAUGAACACAUCUUUAUUGAUAACAUAUAAGAAAUGUCUUAAAAUAUAGAAUUUUUAUUAGUUAUUAAAAAUGAUUAUUUUUGCUUAAC
This 1558-nucleotide long non-coding RNA is filed under the name Equus caballus (horse). RNAcentral's name for it is "lncRNA (ENSECAG00000041134.2)". The stretch from base 1143 to 1208 matches the Rfam family "Selenocysteine insertion sequence 1". The record is from RNAcentral. Lineage: Eukaryota; Metazoa; Chordata; Mammalia; Perissodactyla; Equidae.